This is a long non-coding RNA of Panicum virgatum (switchgrass), 672 nucleotides long. RefSeq lists it as uncharacterized. The transcript has 2 exons. NCBI's taxonomy places the organism in Eukaryota, Viridiplantae, Streptophyta, Magnoliopsida, Poales, Poaceae. The record is from RefSeq and is a predicted model, not a curated record.
AUUUCUCCGCGCCUGCAGCCCACGCGGAAUUCUCCCCCGCGGAGUCCACAAGAUCCUUUUGGAAGCCCGUUGCUUGGUGUUUUCCGGCCCGGGUGAGCCCAAUUCCCGCGGGAAAUAGUUCCCGGCCUGUGGACACCGGUGAGCCCUCCCCGUCUCUCACGACUCGCGGAGUCGAGCGGGAGAGCGCCGCCGGCGGCUGCCGAUCUACUCCGGCGACCUCGUGGCGGCAGUGUCUCCUUCGUCGGCGUCUCUACGGCAACCACAUCCUUCGCAUCAGAGCACUUGCUGCAAACAGUGCAUAGAAGGUACAAGUAAUUUCGUGACAGGAGUGGCACAAAUGCAGAGUGGUGAAAGUUGAGUAUGGUGUUGCUGGGUCACAAAUAUUAGUGCUUCGACUUCUUCCUAGCGUCUGAAAUUCUUGUUCCUGAUCGAAAAUGGUCAAAUAAAUUGCUCGCCUUAUUUUCUUUUAUAUUAUCUAUCUGGGUAUGUGCAUGAACAUGACCAUAUAUAAGCCAUUCAUCUCAGUUGGACAGUAUAUCCUGCUAUUCUGAAGGCCACGUGAUCAUAUUGUUGCUGUUUUGAAGGCCACGUGAUCAUAUUGUUGCUAUUCUGAAGGCUACAUGUUCUGGAAUUAUAUUGUGAUGACGAAUCAACAUGGCAGUUGACUGUUAA